RNAcentral lists this transfer RNA (75 nucleotides) under Candidatus Woesearchaeota archaeon. RNAcentral's name for it is "tRNA-Glu". It matches the Rfam family "tRNA". Rfam says of the family: Transfer RNA (tRNA) molecules are approximately 80 nucleotides in length. Their secondary structure includes four short double-helical elements and three loops (D, anti-codon, and T loops). Lineage: Archaea; Nanobdellati; Candidatus Woesearchaeota. The record is from RNAcentral.
GCUCCGUUGGUGUAGUCCGGCCAAUCAUUUCGGAUUUUCGAUCCGAAGACCCGGGUUCAAAUCCCGGACGGAGCA